RNAcentral lists this ribosomal RNA (301 nucleotides) under uncultured bacterium. RNAcentral describes it as "partial 16S ribosomal RNA". It matches the Rfam family "Bacterial small subunit ribosomal RNA", at positions 509 to 807 of the family's 1533-position model. The record is from RNAcentral.
CAGUCGCCGCGGUAAUACGAAGGGUGCAAGCGUUAAUCGGAAUUGCUGGGCGUAAAGCGUGCGUAGGCGGUUUGUUAAGUCUGCUGUGAAAUCCCCGGGCUCAACCUGGGAAUGGCAGUGGAUACUGGCAAGCUAGAGUGUGUCAGAGGAUGGUGGAAUUCCCGGUGUAGCGGUGAAAUGCGUAGAGAUCGGGAGGAACAUCAGUGGCGAAGGCGGCCAUCUGGGACAACACUGACGCUGAGGCACGAAAGCGUGGGGAGCAAACAGGAUUAGAGACCCCUGUAGUCCCUGUCUCUUAUAC